CGUGAAAUUGUUGAAAGGGAAGCGUUUGGCAUCAGCCCUUGGCGUCUGUCGAACAUCCAGGCUUCUGUCUGGUGCACUCGUCGGUCGUCGGGCCAGCGUCGGCUCUGUCUGUCGGAGAAAGGCCUGGGGGACGUGGCUCACCUUCGGGGGAGCGUUAUAACCCUGGGCGUCAUGCGAUGUGAUGGGGCCGAGGUCUGCGGACUCUGUCCUAGGACGCUGGCGUAAUGGUUCCAAGCGACCCGUCUUGAAACACGG
This 255-nucleotide ribosomal RNA is filed under the name Ascomycota sp. RNAcentral's name for it is "partial large subunit ribosomal RNA". The record is from RNAcentral. Lineage: Eukaryota; Fungi; Ascomycota.